RNAcentral lists this ribosomal RNA (235 nucleotides) under uncultured bacterium. RNAcentral's name for it is "partial 16S ribosomal RNA". It matches the Rfam family "Bacterial small subunit ribosomal RNA", at positions 96 to 334 of the family's 1533-position model. The record is from RNAcentral.
CGGCGGACGGGUGAGUAAUGCUUGGGAAUAUGCCUUAUGGUGGGGGACAACAGUUGGAAACGACUGCUAAUACCGCAUAACGUCUACGGACCAAAGGGGGGGAUCUUCGGACCUCCCGCCAUUUGAUUAGCCCAAGUGAGAUUAGCUAGUUGGUGAGGUAAUGGCUCACCAAGGCGACGAUCUCUAGCUGGUUUGAGAGGAUGAUCAGCCACACUGGGACUGAGACACGGCCCAG